ACUCAAAUGAAUAGACGGGGACCCGCACAAGCAGUGGAGCAUGUGGUUUAAUUCGAUGCAACGCGAAGAACCUUACCUGGGCUUGACAUGCAGAGGACAGUACUAGAAAUAGUAUCUCCCUUCGGGGCCUUUGCACAGGUGCUGCAUGGCUGUCGUCAGCUCGUGCCGUGAGGUGUUGGGUUAAGUCCCGCAACGAGCGCAACCCUUAUCAUUAGUUGCCAACAGUUUAGGCUGGGAACUCUAAUGAGACUGCCUGGGUUAACCAGGAGGAAGGUGGGGAUGACGUCAAGUCCGCAUGGCCCUUAUGUCCAGGGCUACACACGUGCUACAAUGGUCGGUACAAAGGGCAGCCAAACCGCAAGGUGGAGCAAAUCCCAUAAAGCCGGCCCCAGUUCAGAUUGUAGUCUGCAACUCGACUACAUGAAGUUGGAAUUGCUAGUAAUGGCGUAUCAGCUACAGCGCCGUGAAUACGUUCACGGGUCUUGUACACACCGCCCGU
This 499-nucleotide ribosomal RNA is filed under the name uncultured bacterium. Its description in RNAcentral is "partial 16S ribosomal RNA". It matches the Rfam family "Bacterial small subunit ribosomal RNA", at positions 899 to 1397 of the family's 1533-position model. The record is from RNAcentral.